This 374-nucleotide long non-coding RNA is filed under the name Glycine max (soybean). RNAcentral describes it as "long non-coding RNA (GMAX_LNC002157)". Lineage: Eukaryota; Viridiplantae; Streptophyta; Magnoliopsida; Fabales; Fabaceae. The record is from RNAcentral.
GCCGGGCAACUGCUUGGGGUGGAAACAUAAGUAAUAGUCAAAGUUCAUCAAUAAGGUUACAAAUGGUUGGCUCAAAGAGAAAACAUUCUGAUACCUUUAAUCGUGCAGAUGACAGCAGCAUGAAUCUGAUUGGAGUGCAAUAUAAUGGACUGCCCUCAUACCAACACCUAAGUACGUCUAUUUCAAAAUGCACUUCCCCUGGGGCAAAGCUGAAUGCCAACUCUGUAGAGAAGAAAAACAAAAAAAUCCGGGCAACUGCUCGGGGUGGAAACAUCAGUAAUAGUCAAAGUUCAUCAAUAGGGUUACAAAUGGUUGGUUCAAAGAGAAAACAUUCUGGUACCUUUAAUCGUGCAGAUGACAGCAGCUUGAAUCUG